UAGGGACGGAUUUUGAAAAUCCGUCUCUACAUUAGGGACGGAUUUAAAAUCCGUCUCUAAAUUAGGGACGGAUUUUGAAAAUCCGUCUCUACAUUAGGGACGGAUUUAAAAUCCGUCUCUAAAU
Molecule: small nucleolar RNA, 124 nt
Filed under: Beta vulgaris subsp. vulgaris (sugar beet)
Lineage: Eukaryota; Viridiplantae; Streptophyta; Magnoliopsida; Caryophyllales; Amaranthaceae
Description: snoRNA snoF1_F2
Source: RNAcentral